This 634-nucleotide ribosomal RNA is filed under the name uncultured bacterium. RNAcentral's name for it is "bacterial SSU rRNA". It matches the Rfam family "Bacterial small subunit ribosomal RNA", at positions 35 to 677 of the family's 1533-position model. The record is from RNAcentral.
GCUGGCGGUGCGCCUUAUGCAUGCAAGUCGAGCGAAGCUUUUCAGUAGUUUACUACAGAAAAUGACUGAGCGGCGAACGGGUGAGUAACGCGUGAGCAAUCUACCUUAGUUACAGGGAUAGCCCGAGGAAACUCGGAUUAAUACCUGAUAUUCUUUUUAUCUCGCAUGAGAUUUUAAGGAAAGGUCAGCCGAACUAAGAUGAGCUCGCGUUCUAUCAGCUAGUUGGUGAGGUAAUAGCUCACCAAGGCUACGACGGAUAGCUGGUCUGAGAGGACGAUCAGCCACACUGGGACUGAGACACGGCCCAGACUCCUACGGGAGGCUGCAGCAGGGAAUAUUGCGCAAUGAGCGAAAGCUUGACGCAGCGACACCGCGUGUGGGAUGACGGAUCUAGGUUUGUAAACCACUUUCAGGAGGGAAGAAAAUGACGGUACCUCCACAAGAAGCCCCGGCCAACUACGUGCCAGCAGCCGCGGUAAUACGUAGGGGGCGAGCGUUGUCCGGAUUUAUUGGGCGUAAAGAGCUCGUAGGCGGUUCAACAAGUCGGUCGUGAAAGUUCAGGGCUCAACCCUGAAAUGUCGAUCGAUACUGUUGUGACUAGGAUACGGUAGAGGUGAGUGGAAUUCCGAGUGUA